GGAUUAGAUACCCUGGUAGUCCACGCUGUAAACGAUGAUUACUCGUUGUCGGCGAUACACAGUCGGUGGCUAAGCGAAAGUGAUAAGUAAUCCACCUGGGGAGUACGAUCGCAAGGUUGAAACUCAAAGGAAUUGACGGGGGCCCGCACAAGCGGAGGAGCAUGUGGUUUAAUUCGAUGAUACGCGAGGAACCUUACCUGGGCUUAAAUGUAGAGUGCAUGAGUGGGAAACCAUUCUUUCCUUCGGGACUCUUUACAAGGUGCUGCAUGGUUGUCGUCAGCUCGUGCCG
RNAcentral lists this ribosomal RNA (289 nucleotides) under uncultured bacterium. RNAcentral's name for it is "partial 16S ribosomal RNA". It matches the Rfam family "Bacterial small subunit ribosomal RNA", at positions 775 to 1067 of the family's 1533-position model. The record is from RNAcentral.